Molecule: unclassified non-coding RNA, 337 nt
Filed under: soil metagenome
Description: partial contains 5.8S ribosomal RNA, internal transcribed spacer 2, and large subunit ribosomal RNA
Rfam family: 5.8S ribosomal RNA (bases 1-120)
Source: RNAcentral
GAUGAAGAACGUAGCGAAAUGCGAUAAGUAGUGUGAAUUGCAGAAUUCAGUGAAUCAUCGAAUCUUUGAACGCACAUUGCGCCCCUUGGUAUUCCAUGGGGCAUGCCUGUUCGAGCGUCAUUUGUACCUUCAAGCUCUGCUUGGUGUUGGGUGUUUGUCUCGCCUCUGCGUGUAGACUCGCCUUAAAACAAUUGGCAGCCGGCGUAUUGAUUUCGGAGCACAGUACAUCUCGCGCUUUGCACUCAUAACGACGACGUCCAAAAGUACAUUUUUACACUCUUGACCUCGGAUCAGGUAGGGAUACCCGCUGAACUUAAGCAUAUCAAUAAGCGGAGGA